AUGGCUCAGGAUGAACGCUAGCGACAGGCCUAACACAUGCAAGGUCGAGGGGCAGCGCGGGAGAAGCUGCUUUCCUGGCGGCGACCGGCGCACGGGUGCGUAACAGGUGUGCAAUCUGUCCAGUAGUCGGGGGAUAGCCCAGCAAAGCUGAAUUAAUACUCCAUGUGAAUCGAAGCCGCAUGACUUUGAUUUGAAACGCAAGGACUAUGGGUGAGCACGCUUCUGAUUAGGUAGUUGGUGGGGUAACGGCCCACCAAGCCGACGAUCAGUAGGGGUUCUGAGAGGAAGGUCCCCCCACAUUGGAACUGAGACACGGUCCAAACUCCUACGGGAGGCAGCAGUGAGGAAUAUUGGUCAAUGGGCGAGAGCCUGAACCAGCCAAGUCGCGUUGAAGGAUGAAGGUUCUAUGGAUUGUAAACUUCUUUUGUCCGAGGGUAAAAAAGGCCACGUGUGGCUUCUUGCAAGUAUCGGACGAAUAAGCAUCGGCUAACUCCGUGCCAGCCGCAGC
Molecule: ribosomal RNA, 508 nt
Filed under: uncultured bacterium
Lineage: Bacteria
Description: bacterial SSU rRNA
Rfam family: Bacterial small subunit ribosomal RNA
Source: RNAcentral